Long non-coding RNA from Ictidomys tridecemlineatus (thirteen-lined ground squirrel), 364 nucleotides. RefSeq lists it as uncharacterized. Lineage: Eukaryota; Metazoa; Chordata; Mammalia; Rodentia; Sciuridae. The record is from RefSeq and is a predicted model, not a curated record.
UCUUGCGCUGCUCCGCGUUCUCCAUUUUGGGCCACCCAUGGGGGGGUCCUCCGUAGAGGCCCCGAGGGAGAGUUGGGCGAGGGAAGGAAGAGAAAAUCUUCAGCGAGGGUAGUCGGAAAGAAGAGUCCUGCGGUAGAAAGCGACUCUAGGAGUAGGAGUUUGUGGUGCUGGAGAUGGAACCCAAGGUGUCACCCAUACCAGGAAAAUGCUCUAUUACUGAACCACAGACCCAACUCAAUGCCUUGCAAAUAAUAAUCGUGUUUUGUUCACAUGUGUUAUAACCAAACAAAUGUUAGCAUAUAGUAGAAAAUCAAUAAAUGUUUAUUGAAUUGAAAUGAAGAAUAAAUAAUUAUCUGGAUCAGCA